CUAGGCGCUGGUGUUCUGGUGGCCCCAGCUAAGAAUUUGGAAGGGUGAAAAGAAAGUUAUUUUUUCUCCCUUACACUGGUAAAAUGAUAGCUGCAAGGAUGUCUGUCACGGGACAAUAAAGUGAAAAAUUUACCAUUCACUAUCUCCAAACUAUUUAGAGGUAAGUGAAAUUUUAAUAAGUACACUUUCAGAAAAUGCUGUAAAGUUGUAUCAUUCAUAAGCCUGAGGUUAUGAUAGCCUUGCUCCCUUCCCAAGUGAGAAGCAAGUUCUCAAGUGCAGGCUCUCCCUCUGCCCUGUCACCCCCUGCUUUUUGCUAAGGACCUGCUAGGGAGCCAGUGCUUCUUCCAUGGCCUUCCUAGGGUUGCUAUAGGUAUUGUCCACAUCGACUACGUGGGUGGGGGAGAUAGGUUUUUCGUGCCUGACUGGUAAGUCUUAUUUGUAUUUUCCUUUGUUUUGAAAAGAAAGAACAUGCUCUUCAUGAAGGUAAGUUUUACAUAAUGGAGACAGUGUAGUAUAGAGAGGAAAAUGGAAGUUAACCACUGAUGCCACCACCCAGACAAGUGUUAAUUUGGGGCAUGUAUCCUUGCAGCAGGUUGUUCCCUGAGGGAGAGGCAUAUAUAAAUAAAGAUCAAGGAAAGACAAUAGUCGAAGGAGCUCCCUAGGCUCAAGGGUAACCUCCAUCUAAAGUUGACCCUUGGGGAGUUCCCGUCGUGGCUCAGUGGUUAACGAAUCCGAGUAGGAAUUAGGAGGUUGCGGGUUCGAUCCCUGGCCUUACCCAGUGGGUUAAGGAUCCGGCACUGCCGUGAGCCAUGUUGUAGGUUGCAGAUGCAGAUUCCGCGUUGCUGUGGCUCUGGCAUAAGCCGGCGGCUAGAGCUCCGAUUAGACCCCUAGCCUGGGAACCUCCAUAUGCCAUGGGAGCGGCCCAAGAAAUGGUAUAAGGACAAAAUAAAUAAAUAAGUAAAGUUGACCCUUGGAGUUCCCGUCAUGGCACAGCAGAAACAAAUCUGACUAGAAACCAUGAGGUUGUAGGUUCAAUCCCUGGCCUCGCUCAGUGGGUUAAGGAUCUGGUGUUGCCGUGACCUGUGGUGUAGGUCGCAGAUGCAGCUCAGAUCCCGCAUGGCUGUGGCUGUGGUGUAGGUUGCAGACGCAGCUCAGAUCUGGUGUUGCUGUGGCUCUGGCAUAGGCCGGCAGCAAUAGCUCUGAUUAGACCCCUAGCCUGGGAACCUCCACAUGCCAUGGGUGCGGCCCUAAAAAGACAGAAAAGACAAUCAAUCAAUCAAUAAAGUUGAUCCUUGAGUAACAUGGGGUAAUAAGGGUGCCAGCUCUCCCUGCAGUUGAAAAUAUUCGUAUAACUUGUUGUCAGGGUCUUUGUUUAUGAGGUUCCUCUGUAUCUAUGGUUUUGCAUCCACAGAUUCAACCAACCUUGGAUUGUGUAGACUGUGGUAUUUACUAUUAAAAAAAAAAUCAAUGUAUAAGUGGACAUGUAGUUUAAACCUAUGUUGUUCAGUUGUACUUCGUUACUAAACAACUGACUGUGAGGAUAUUUUUGUUGACUAUUUCCAUUAACAAAUAUUAUCCUUACUUAUUUUUACGGAAAAAAAAAACAACCCAUCUUCACCAAUACAGAAGACUAAGUCAUCCCUGUCCAGAUCCACUCCCCAGUGUAACCACCCUUAAAAGAAAUACUUUUGAAAUUAUCCAUGGGCUCUCCAUCAGCCCCAGGGCAACGCAACUCACCUGCUGACUGCUCCUAAUGCUUCAGAAUUUCCUGCCUCCAUUCCAUAACCCCACAGAGGACAAUGAACAGGCUGUCCAGCUUCACCCAGCCUGGGCUCAGGCUCUGACAGCCCCCUUUCUCAUCCUUCUCUGCUUUUUGGGCAGAGAGGUGGUAUGAAUCUGCAGGGCACUGUUACCAAAUCAGGUUUAUUUGCCCAAUGUGCAGCAAAUCAAAAACACUAAGACACCAAGGUUUGCAGCUGAGAAAGGGUUUAUUCACAAGGCAGCCAAGUAAGGAGACUGGAGAACAAAUUUCCAGUCUGCCUCCCUGAAGGCCAGGGGCUUGGGAUAUUUAGGGGAUAAAGAAGCAAUGUGGGGAAAGGUGAGUGGAGGUAAGAAAAAGGUUAAAUAAUCAUUCUGCACAGACACAACUGAGCUACAUGCUUCUUAAUGGGAUGCAUCUUCAGAAUAUGGUGCUGUUGGCAUGCUCUGGAGUUUCUGGCCCUCUAAUUUCAAAAGGUCAUCCAUCAGACUUGCACAGGCCAAGUUGUAUGAUUGGUGGUCUUGAUGGGUUUAAACUGCACAAGUUCCUGAAAAAUAAGCAACCAUUACUAUAGCAACCCAUAGUUAGAGGUGUUGUCUGUAGGGGGUAGUUAGUUGUUUUAUGUAUGAUACACUGUCUAAGCUACGUGAAGCUUGCAGGGUAUGCAAUUUGCAAGAACAAUUACGGUGAGCUUGAUUGGUGAAGGCAAGUUAUAUGAUAUUUAUUAAGCAAGUUAUAGUUUUAGCGAUCUGAUGACUGCCCUUGGUUUUUUUGGGAGGGCGGACAACAAGGGCCCUGGUAUACUUUGUUAUGGCUAGGCAGCUGGCCUUUUUGCAAUUCAGGGCAACAUCGGAAGUCUCACAAAAUCUAGCUGUUUUCAACUGAUGGGGAACAUUUUGGAAAGAACUGUGGUUUUUGUUUGUCUAGUUUCUGGCUGUGCUUAGGACAUGUGGAAAUUCCCAGAAGAGGGACUGAACCCACCUCACAGCAGUGACCUGAGCCACAGCAGUGACAAUGCUGGAUCCUUUAAUUGCUAUGCUGUCAGGGAACUCCUAGAUAGAAUUGUUCAUGCUCUGCCACAAGUUGCUCACCUUACUGAGUACCACAGGUGGAAUUCCCCGACAAAACCUUUACCUAUGAAUCUCAGCUGCUUCCUUCUGGAUUCCUUAUCAUUUUCCCUGUCCUUCACUUUGGGGAAUAAUGGCAGUUCCCCCCAUAAAGAGAACAAAGUCAAAGCCUUUUUUCCAUCCCUGGACAGACACAGAUUCAAAAAGUUCUCAUUGUACCAGAAAACCAAGGUCCACAGAAACUAAUGGUUUGCCAGGGUAAACUAGGAUGGCACAGGAUGGAUUCAACAUGCAUGUGGCUCUCAGGGUGCCAAUCCAUUACUCUUGUAUAGGAGGAAAAAAAAUAUUUUUUCCUACCCUUCUAAGUUCUCUACUGGGAAAAAAAACAGAUUAACAAGAGAAAAGCAUACAAAUUUAAUGUAAAUCUUUGUGACUCAGAAGCCUUCAUAAGAAAGUGAAGACCUAAAGAAAUGUUUAAACCUUGAGUGUUUUUAUACUAGGUUUGAUGAAGUGUAGAAAAUCAUAGAAGGUAUGAUAGGACAGAGUAUAAGCUAAGUGUAAUAACAUGGGGGAAAUUUAGCAAGUCCUAUUCAUUUACAUUCCUCUCUGUGUUGCUUCUAAUUCAAAGAUAAGAAUGCUUCUUUCCUCCAGGUAUAGGGAGGGCAUUGCUCACAUGAGGAUUGAACACCAGCUUCAGGGUAAGUCUGUGCAAAUGCCAUUUCUCAAAUUCCUUAAGCUUAAAAUACUCGGUGUGUUAAUAGUAGCAUGUCCUGAACCCUCAUCACUCUCCAUGCAGAUGGCCAAUAAGUACAAGAAAAGAUGCUCAACAUCAUUAGUCAUUGUGAAAUAGAAAUUAAAAACACAAGGAGAUAGCACUUCAUACAGAGUGGGUAUAAUAAUGUUAAAUGGGACAUGGAUAUUUUCAUGUGGCAUUAGGAAAUAACUGUAAGCUUUUGUUCAAUGCAGUGCUGGUAUUUUGGGGUUUUUAAAAACUUUGUUAGUGUAUCAUACUUUACAUCAUAUGGGGUAUAUAAAUUAGGGUUUAUGGGUAAGGUCAAUAUGCUAUGAAAUACUGCAGCAAAAAAAGCAAAAACAUAAUUAGAAAAAAUUUGGUUAUUUUUGAAGCUGGUUGGUGAAGGGGUUUAGAACAUGCCACCCCAAAAUAUGACACUUUUGGCAUAUGAAUUGCUUUGAGCUAGCAGCAAUUAAGACACAACAGAGGCAGGAAAAUCUCUUCCUCUUCUAAAGGAAAUUUACAUUUAUGAAGGAAAUUUUUCUUAGUAAAAUUAGAGCCACAUUCCCAGACACAUUUGUGAAAAUUGCAUUCCUAUAUAAGUAAUUAAAGAAUUUUUUCCCUUCCUUUAAUCUCUCAUAUUUUGUUAGGCCAACUAUAGAACUUAACUAGAAGGAAGUUUUUUUCUUUCUCUGUUAUUAGGCAAAUGAAAUAUUCCAUCAUAUUUGCUUAAAAUUAUACAUGAUAAAUACAUAAAAAUAAUGAGGAGUUCCCAGGUAGUACAGUGGGUUAAGGAUCUGGUGUUGUCCCUGCUGUGGCUUGGGUUUCAACUCUGGACCUCUGACCUUCUGCAUGCUGCAG
This 4420-nucleotide long non-coding RNA is filed under the name Sus scrofa (pig). RNAcentral's name for it is "lncRNA (ENSSSCG00025000236.1)". The record is from RNAcentral. Lineage: Eukaryota; Metazoa; Chordata; Mammalia; Artiodactyla; Suidae.